AGAGUUUGAUCCUGGCUCAGAACGAACGCUGGCGGCGCGUUUUAAGCAUGCAAGUCGAACGGUAGGAAUCCUUCGGGAUUCUGAGAGUGGCGAACGGGUGAGUAACACGUAGAUGAUCUGCCUUGAAGUUGGGGAUAGCCCAUAGAAAUAUGGGGUAAUACUAUGGGGUAAUACCGAAUAAUUUUUUACUGCUUUGGCAGUUUAAGGAAAGGGGCUUCGGCCUCGCUUUAAGAUGAGUCUGCGGUCUAUUAGCUAGUUGGUAGGGUAAGAGCCUACCAAGGCGACGAUAGAUAGCCGGCCUGAGAGGGUGACCGGCCACAUUGGGACUGAGACACGGCCCAAACUCCUACGGGAGGCAGCAGCUAAGAAUCUUCCGCAAUGGGCGCAAGCCUGACGGAGCGACGCCGCGUGGACGAAGAAUGCCGAGAGGUUGUAAAGUCCUUUUAUUUGCGAAGAAUAAUACCGGUAGGUAAUGAUCUUCGAUCUGACAGUACCUCAAGAGGAAGCUCCGGCUAACUCCGUGCCAGCAGCCGCGGUAAUACGGGGGGAGCGAGCGUUAUUCGGAUUCAUUGGGCGUAAAGAGUUCGUAGGCGGCCUGAUAAGUCAGAGGUGAAAUCUAACGGCUUAACCGUUAGCCUGCCUUUGAAACUGUCAGGCUUGAGUAUUGGAGAGGAAAGCGGAAUUCUUGGUGUAGCGGUGAAAUGCGUGGAUAUCAAGAGGAACACCCGUGGCGAAAGCGGCUUUCUGGCCAAAUACUGACGCUGAGGAACGAAAGCUAGGGGAGCAAACGGGAUUAGAUACCCUGGUAGUCCUAGCGGUAAACGAUGGGCACUAGGUGUAGGGGGUAUCAACUCCCCCUGUGCGGAAGCUAACGCAUUAAGUGCCCCGCCUGGGGAGUACGAUCGCAAGAUUGAAACUCAAAGGAAUUGACGGGGGCCCGCACAAGCGGUGGAGUAUGUGGUUUAAUUCGAGGCAACGCGAAGAACCUUACCUGGAUUUGACAUGUUUAGGACCGACUGUGAAAGCAGUCUUUCCCUUCGGGGAUCUUUACACAGGUGCUGCAUGGCUGUCGUCAGCUCGUGCCGUGAGGUGUUGGGUUAAGUCCCGCAACGAGCGCAACCCCUAUCUAUAGUUGCCAUCAGGUAAUGCUGGGGACUCUAUAGAGACUGCCGGUGACAAACCGGAGGAAGGUGGGGACGACGUCAAGUCCUCAUGGCCCUUACAUCCAGGGCUACACACGUACUACAAUGGCCGGUACAAUAGGAAGCAAUAUCGCGAGAUGGAGCAAAUCCCCAAAAACCGGUCUCAGUUCAGAUUGGAGUCUGCAACUCGACUCCAUGAAGGAGGAAUCGCUAGUAAUCGCUGAUCAGCAGGCAGCGGUGAAUACGUUCCCGGGCCUUGUACACACCGCCCGUCAAGCCACGGAAGCUGGGGGUACCCGAAGUCGGUCACCUAACCCGUAAGGGAAGGAGCCGCCGAAGGUAAAACUAGUGACUGGCGCUAAGUCGUAACAAGGUA
Molecule: ribosomal RNA, 1518 nt
Filed under: uncultured prokaryote
Description: partial 16S ribosomal RNA
Rfam family: Bacterial small subunit ribosomal RNA
Source: RNAcentral